UGUAAUUUAGUUUAGUGAGAAUUUUUAUUUUUGGUGUAAAGGGGUCUAAUUACAU
This 55-nucleotide transfer RNA is filed under the name Angiostrongylus costaricensis. Its description in RNAcentral is "tRNA-Gln". The record is from RNAcentral. Lineage: Eukaryota; Metazoa; Nematoda; Chromadorea; Rhabditida; Metastrongylidae.